RNAcentral lists this ribosomal RNA (387 nucleotides) under uncultured bacterium. RNAcentral describes it as "bacterial SSU rRNA". It matches the Rfam family "Bacterial small subunit ribosomal RNA", at positions 28 to 412 of the family's 1533-position model. The record is from RNAcentral.
GACGAACGCUGGCGGCGUGCUUAACACAUGCAAGUCGAACGGUGACGAGGAGCUUGCUCCUCCGAUCAGUGGCGAACGGGUGAGUAACACGUGAGUAACCUGCCCCAGACUCUGGGAGUAACAGUUGGAACAGCUGCUAAUACCGGAUACGAGACGGAGAGGCAUCUCUACCGUCUGGAAAGUUUUCGGUUCUGGGAGUGGACGUCGCGGCCUAUCAGCUUGUUGGUGAGGUAAUGGCUCACCAAGGCGACGACGGGUAGCCGGCCUGAGAGGGCGACCGGCCACACUGGGACUGAGACACGGCCCAGACUCCUACGGGAGGCAGCAGUGGGGAAGUAUUGCACAAUGGGCGAAAGCCUGAUGCAGCGACGCCGCGUGAGGGAUGAC